This 371-nucleotide ribosomal RNA is filed under the name uncultured organism. RNAcentral describes it as "bacterial SSU rRNA". It matches the Rfam family "Bacterial small subunit ribosomal RNA", at positions 527 to 896 of the family's 1533-position model. The record is from RNAcentral.
CGGGGGGGCAAGCGUUGUUCGGAAUUACUGGGCGUAAAGGGCUCGUAGGUGGCCAACUAAGUCAGACGUGAAAUCCCUCGGCUUAACCGGGGAACUGCAUCUGAUACUGGAUGGCUUGAGUUUGGGAGAGGGACGCGGAAUUCCAGGUGUAGCGGUGAAAUGCGUAGAUAUCUGGAGGAACACCGGUGGCGAAGGCGGCGUCCUGGACCAACACUGACACUGAUGAGCGAAAGCCAGGGGAGCAAACGGGAUUAGAUACCCCGGUAGUCCUGGCCCUAAACGAUGAAUGCUUGGUGUGGCGGGUAUCGAUCCCUGCCGUGCCGAAGCUAACGCAUUAAGCAUUCCGCCUGGGGAGUACGGUCGCAAGGCUG